UACGUAGGAUGCAAGCGUUGUCCGGAAUUAUUGGGCGUAAAGAGCUCGUAGGCGGUGUGUCGCGUCGGCCGUGAAAACCUGCAGCUUAACUGUGGGCUUGCGGUCGAUACGGGCAUCACUGGAGUUCGGCAGGGGAGACUGGAAUUCCUGGUGUAGCGGUGAAAUGCGCAGAUAUCAGGAGGAACACCGGUGGCGAAGGCGGGUCUCUGGGCCGAUACUGACGCUGAGGAGCGAAAGCGUGGGGAGCGAACAGG
RNAcentral lists this ribosomal RNA (254 nucleotides) under uncultured bacterium. Its description in RNAcentral is "partial 16S ribosomal RNA". It matches the Rfam family "Bacterial small subunit ribosomal RNA", at positions 524 to 776 of the family's 1533-position model. The record is from RNAcentral.